GGAGGAGUACCCAAGUGGCUGAAGGGGACGGUUUGCUAAACCGUUAGUGUGAGCAAUUGCAGCGAGAGUUCGAAUCUCUCCUCCUCCGCCA
This 91-nucleotide transfer RNA is filed under the name Candidatus Marinamargulisbacteria bacterium SCGC AAA071-K20. RNAcentral describes it as "tRNA-Ser". It matches the Rfam family "tRNA". From Rfam's summary of the family: Transfer RNA (tRNA) molecules are approximately 80 nucleotides in length. Their secondary structure includes four short double-helical elements and three loops (D, anti-codon, and T loops). Lineage: Bacteria; Bacillati; Candidatus Margulisiibacteriota; Candidatus Marinamargulisbacteria. The record is from RNAcentral.